UACGAAGGGUGCAAGCGUUAAUCGGAAUUACUGGGCGUAAAGCGUGCGUAGGCGGUUUGUUAAGUCUGUUGUGAAAUCCCCGGGCUCAACCUGGGAAUGGCAAUGGAUACUGGCAAGCUAGAGUGUGUCAGAGGAUGGUGGAAUUCCCGGUGUAGCGGUGAAAUGCGUAGAGAUCGGGAGGAACAUCAGUGGCGAAGGCGGCCAUCUGGGACAACACUGACGCUGAGGCACGAAAGCGUGGGGAGCAAACAGG
RNAcentral lists this ribosomal RNA (253 nucleotides) under uncultured bacterium. Its description in RNAcentral is "partial 16S ribosomal RNA". It matches the Rfam family "Bacterial small subunit ribosomal RNA", at positions 524 to 776 of the family's 1533-position model. The record is from RNAcentral.